This is a long non-coding RNA of Haplochromis burtoni (Burton's mouthbrooder), 10662 nucleotides long. RefSeq annotates it as shaker-related potassium channel tsha2. NCBI's taxonomy places the organism in Eukaryota, Metazoa, Chordata, Actinopteri, Cichliformes, Cichlidae. The record is from RefSeq and is a predicted model, not a curated record. The transcript is spliced from 3 exons.
CUUGUUGCACACGCAGUGUUUACCUUCCAUGCUGUCACUGCUCUCUCAUUAUAAUAAUAAUUAUUGUUGUUGUUGUUGUUUUUGUUGUUAUUGUUUCCUGUUUAUUGUUGUUUCAUGCACACACAGCACAGACUCGCAGGUCGUGCACAACUUGUGGAUGGGGGAGCUGCUGUGGAAACGUCAGCGCGGGUUUGUGUGGAGCGGCUGCAGCGUGACAUUGCAGAGCCUGUCUGUGUCUGCCCGUUCACGCCACCUGACAGGAGUGAGAGGGCGGGAGGAGGACGCAUCACGGAUCCACAGGUAUUCGUUCGACUGCAAAUUCUGAAUGAAAAAGCGGAUUUUUUGCCUGAAAUUUGAGCGUUUUGCAUGAAAAGUCUCGCGCUCUUUGUCUCCACACGUCUUCGCUGUGACUGCAUGCGUGCUGUUUCAAACGUGACAUCACGUCAAGGAAUACACGGCAGCCCCUGUGAUAACCUUGAGCCCGCGCCGCGCAGGACACAACAGGUUCGUUACGCACGCAAACUCUCUCAGAAUCCCGCAUCUCUGCGGUGUUCCCGGAGCUCUGUGCCCCUCUCGCGUUCAGCAUGUGCGCGUGUUUGUUUCCCCCUCCGUGACGGAGCGUGCACACACACACGUCAGCUCGGGGAGGGCAAAGUCUGCUUAAAAUGCUGCGAGUGUGACGGCUGAAUCCAGAGCACAGCGCCGCGCGGACGGACAGGUGAGCGCGGGGGGCGCAGAAGGACACGCGGAGGCUCGGCGGAGGAUCAGAGAGCCCCGAGGAGCGCGCGGGGAUCAUGACGGUGGUGCCCGCGGAGAACCUGGACGAGACCGUAGCGCUGGCCGCGCUGUCGGCACAGGACGCGUGCGAGCCGGAGCGCGCGGACAGCCAGGACUGCUGCGAACGCGUGGUCAUCAACAUCUCCGGGCUGCGCUUCGAGACACAGCUGAAGACGCUCGCGCAGUUUCCCGCCACGCUACUGGGAGACCCGCGGAAGAGGAUGCGCUUCUUCGACCCGCUGAGGAACGAGUACUUCUUCGACCGGAACCGGCCCAGCUUCGACGCCAUCCUCUACUACUACCAGUCCGGGGGCCGGCUCCGGAGACCCGUCAACGUGCCGGUGGACAUCUUCAUGGAGGAGAUCAAGUUCUACGAGCUUGGAGAGGAGGUGAUCGAGAAUUUUAAGGAUGACGAGGGCUUCAUUAAGGAGGAGGAGCGCCCGCUGCCCGAGAACGAGUUUCAGCGGCAGGUCUGGCUCCUGUUCGAGUACCCAGAGAGCUCCGGACCCGCCAGGGGCAUCGCCAUCGUCUCGGUCCUGGUCAUUCUCAUCUCCAUCGUGAUCUUCUGCAUGGAGACGUUACCGGAGUUCCGCGAGGAGGCCAGGACGUUUGACGAGCACCUGGCAGCGAACGGAACAGUGCGCGCAAAGAAACCGAACCCUUUCACGGACCCGUUCUUCAUCGUAGAGACGCUUUGCAUCAUCUGGUUUUCAUUCGAGCUGCUGGUUAGAUUCCUCGCGUGCCCCAGCAAGGCCGCCUUCUUCAAGAACAUCAUGAACACCAUCGACAUCGUGGCCAUCAUGCCCUACUUCAUCACGCUGGGACUGGAGCUCGCGGAGCACCAAGGGAACGGCCAGCAGGCCAUGUCUCUGGCCAUCCUCAGGGUCAUCCGCCUGGUACGGGUUUUCCGCAUCUUCAAACUGUCCAGACACUCCAAAGGACUGCAGAUUCUCGGGAAGACGCUGCAGGCCAGCAUGCGAGAGCUUGGACUGCUUAUCUUCUUCCUCUUCAUCGGAGUCAUCCUCUUCUCCAGCGCUGUGUACUUCGCGGAGACCGACGACCCGCACUCGGGCUUCAGCAGCAUCCCGGACGCGUUCUGGUGGGCUGUGGUCUCCAUGACGACAGUGGGCUACGGGGACAUGUGCCCGGUCACCAUUGGGGGGAAGAUCGUGGGCUCUUUGUGCGCUAUCGCCGGCGUGCUGACCAUCGCGCUGCCGGUCCCCGUCAUCGUGUCCAACUUCAACUACUUCUACCACCGGGAGACGGAGCAUGAGGAGCAGUUCCAGUACACGCACGUGACCUGCGGACAGCAACAGCCGGCUUUCGGAGAAUUCAGGAAGAGCGACAGCAGGUCGAGCCUGUCCAAGUCCGAGUUUCUGGGCAGCGAGGACGCGGACUCCAUUAAAUACACCAACUGCAGCCCGCACAAAGCCCACAGCGGCAAACUCACCGACGUCUGAGCCGCAGCAUCACGCGCUCUGCUGUGACUGCACACCGGAGAGCUCCUUUUUUCUGCCAUCCAAGACUCACGGAGAGGACCCACGUUUACCCCCGAAACCGUCUUCCAUCACGCGCGCCACGAGCGGACAAACAGAAGCUUAGAAGUGAUGAAAGAGCCAGCGGCAGCACUUUAUCCAGACAUUUGAUUAUUAACGUUUAUGUAGUGGAGCUGGUGACACACACACACACACACACACACACACACACACACACACACACACACACACACACACACACACCUGUUAAAGCUCGGGGUGGAUCAGAUGAUGCUUGUUGGAAAAAGCCGUUAAUCUAAAUUUAAAGUCCCUCCCUGACACCAUGUUUGAUCAGAAUGUUUGUUAUUACUAAAACAAACAAACAACAACAAACAGAAACAAACAAUCAGGCUUCUGUGGGGAAAACUCCGAGCACGUGCUCCUUGUUAUUGCCACGCAGACUGUGUGAGCGUUAUGAAAUCAACCUCAGUUUCUCCAAUCCAACAGCACCGCUGUGUGGACGAGCCGAGGCCCUGCGUGUCUCUCUGUGGAUGCAGUUUCUAUAGCAACCUUCCAGACUUUUCUGUAUUGUCUGCCACAGGAAUGAAAACACGCGGGCUGAGACCGCAUAGGCCACAAAACCACCAUGUUGUGGAAAAGCCUCCAUGUUGUCUGAAUCCACCGCUGAACAUCACCUGCACCCCACACAAAGUCAUGGUUCACCUGCCAUCAACACACACACACACACACACACACACACACACAGUGAUUCCGUUAUUUUAGGCUUUAAAAUGCUCACAAACUCCCCCAGCUUCACAUGAAGACGUUAAACUCUGUAUUUUAGUUUAAAAAAAUCUAAGAAUCUGAGAAGAGCCUCAAAUCCUCGCCUUUAGCAGCUUAUUAGAAUAAUAUUAGUAAUAUUUUUGAUGUUUUAGAGCUCAACCAAUACUGAUAAAUAUAUAUAAUAUACAUAAAACUAUUUAAGAAAUAGUGACAGUAUAUCUGCUAACAAUAUUUUUGUGCUUUGGACAGCAGAAGAAAAAACACUUUACAUUUGAAGCAAACAUGAAAAUACAGAGUGCAAUUAUUGUGUGGAAGCACCGUGAGGCCAAAAUUCUUUUAGUUUCAAAUCUAAUUUUACAUUUCAGUUUUUCAUAAGUUGCUUGUAACAUAAAAAUCUUAAACUGUGAAACCAUCAGAAUUAUUUUAAAACAUGACAAAUGAAAUCCACACAGAAAGAAAACUAAAAUUUAAUCGAGUGAAAUUCUCAUAAAUAUAAAACUUAAAGUCAGAAAACAAACAAAAAUUUAAAAGUCAAAUAUUAGAGUUGAAGUUUUACUCACUUUUGUCACUUGAUCAACUGUUAUUACAUAUUGGCUGCAUAUGGCAGCGUGAAAAGGACAAAAUUAAUGUCAAAUUUCACAUCACAACUCAUUGUUCAGAUGAUAAGGUUGAAAUAUCUGGCAAACUCUCGGAUUUUAUGUGAUUUCUGUUCCCCACUCUAAAUAUAAAUUAAAAAAUAUUUUCAAACAGAAAAUUUUUUAAGCACUUUCAAAUUAAUAUCGAAGACUUGUUGAUUAAAAAACAUAUACAUACAUAUAUAUAAACAUAAGCAACUUAAUAUAUAUUAACAUAUAUAUUAAGUUGCUUAACUUCAACACAUAAAAUUAAAGCCAAAUGAAAACAAAAAAUUAACUUGCAUGAAUGUAAAACAGCAAUUAAUACAUUUUUAUUACAUUUUAGCACUUUAAUGGAAAUAAUGUGACCCCAGAAAAAACUGAAGCACAAAGAGUCACAAUUUCAUGGCUAUUUCUUAAAAUUUAUUAAAAAAUUAUCAAAACUUGUGUUUCCAGUAAGGAAACUAAAAUUAAAGGGGAAUUUAAACCACAUACACUGAGAAGCUUUUCAAAAUAAAGUAUUUAGAUGCAGCAAGAUUGUAACGCCAGCUUCACAUAUGCAAUUUAAAUUAUUUUGGCACCUUUUUUCUUCCAUACCCUGUGAUAACGGUAUUAGGCUGAUAGCCAAUAUGCUUACUGAGCAGACAUGUGUCACAGGUAAUUAUUAAAGUCCGUGUUGGAGCCUGUGGGGUCCCAGUCGGAGAUCAAGGACUCUCUGGAUGUAAAAACAGCUCACCUGUACUCACCUGGACUCCAGGAUGGACCAUAAAAUGGACCUGGAAACAAAAAAAGGAGUUUUUAAAUGACCUGAUGGAAUAAAACAAAAAAGAAAAAAAAAUAUCCCAGGAGAUGUUUUCACUGUGAACGUCUAAUGGAUUAUUAUCUGAGUGAAGGAUGGAUUCAUGGACGGAUGGACGAUCAGACUCCAAACAAAGUUACCAGGCCACCAUGACUGAGACUGUUGUUCCAACUGGAUAACAGCAGGGUUCCUGGGACAGUGGGAAGAACGAUGAGCCUCGUCCAGCUGACAGGGUCCGACAACUGCUGCCAUCACCGCUCUUCUCCAUCCUCUGAUGAAAGUGAAAUAAAACAAAUUGCAGAUGAGACGCCCUCCCAUCACAGGAGGACGACCUGAUUUUUUUUUUCAAAGAGCAAAGCUAAAGACUCUGAGGUACGAGGCAAAUGUUACUUGAAUCCUGCUUCAUAUAUUUGCUUCUUGUCCUCUGGCUGAUGGAGGCCUCCAUAUAAUCACGAGUAGAUGCUCUGUGGGGAGAUGCUCCUCCUGCUGUAGAGAAAAAGACCAUUUACGUCCUGUCUGUGCGUUGCAUAUCAUAUUCAAACCAAAACAUAUUAUUGCAUGCUUGGAAAGUAGAGCAUGUGAAGAGAAGAGAACGCGUCCGACUGAACCCAGCACUCUGACAAACGGGAACAACAACAUCAGCCGCUCAUUGAUAUUCUGAAAUGAUUCUGUUAUAAUGAUGAACUUAGUUGCUAAAUCUCUAUUUUUUAAAGUAUCAUACUGUAUAUGUUUUAUAUGGAGAGGAUUUGGUUCACUUGGUGAAUUAUUUUGUAGAUUUUUAACAUUUUUGCUAAUGUGUUUGGAUUUUCUUUAGUUCAUUUUUUUUUUUGCCUUGGUACAAACAAAGCAGCUCUAGCUCCAGGGGGCAGCUCCGGUGAAGACGUCUGCUCCCUUUGAGAGGAAUGUUUGUGCAGGAAACGAGGGUUCCAAAAAGAGACAGCUUAAUGCAUUUAUCACUGAAUGUUUCUGUGUGUGGGUUCCUGAUCAGAAUGCUGUAUAUCUGUUAUGCCGAGAACAUCUACCUCAGUGUCUGCUCAUUACCAACAGAAGCUUUAACACCCGUGUCCCUGCAUCAGUUCUCAUUAGGCAUCUAAUUACUUGGUGCAACUAAACCCAAACGCUCUCCAAACUGCCAUUUAAAAUCUUGGAGGGAAAAAAGCAACACAUUAAAUAGUGUGAAAUAUGGAAUAUCUGUAUGAAGCCGAUCCUGACCUUGGAUUUAAAUAUCAGAAUUAUGCAGUCUGUGUAAAACAGCUUAGAGCCUUGUUUUUGCACAUUUUGUUAAUUUAUUUGUGAAGUUGGAUGUGCUCGUGAGCGUAUGUGACUGCUUCUGGAUUCAUUGUGUAUUUAAAGGGCAAUAAAUGAACUGCAGGGUGGAACCAGUCUGGAACCAGAAAGGAGUCCAGUCCAGCAGGUUUUAUGGGUACAGACCUGAGGCUGCAGGGUUUAAACUGGACUCUAGUUUUCCUCAGAAUCAGAUGCGAACAUCAGCGUCUCAGUUUUGGGUAAAAACAGCAGAGAAAUGAAUCUCAGUUUCCAUCUGAAGCUGUUUUUAGUGGCUGUUGAGCUCAUGUGCUUCAGGGCAGCUGAUGUCUUCUUUGCUUAAUCAAAGGAAUUCUAAAGAAGCUGCUCAGCUGAAGGAAUGGGCCAUGUUCAGAUGUCACUGAGUGAGCUAAACUGUGACUUUCUUAACUGCCUAUAUGCAAAUUUUUGCGUAUUGUUGCAUGACGAUGAUUUAUUCUGCUCAUUUCCAGGUCUUUGUUUUUUAACAUAUGACUCCCCUGCAGCAGUGUUGCAUGAUCCACAGUUCAGAAUAAUCCUUCUGUGUCUCACACUGGGCCCCACAGUUCAUCCUGUCUGGAACAAGCUGAUUUAGCCCCUGUCUCUUUAAGACUUCCUCCCUAAUUGUUCACUUCUGAUUGGCCAAACUGAGGGGCAGCAUGUGUGCUCUUUAAAGUUUUUUUUUUUUCCCCAAAUCAUUAAAUUUAUUCAUGUUUAUGGUGGUCCAGAUGUCCAUGUUCUGUCUUGUAUCUGUGACUAGGUUCUCUUUAAAUCAUUCUGUUUGGAUGGUUUGCACCGCCGUCUCUUUCUGGUGUUACAAAUGCUUCAUGUGAAGCAAAAAUCCUCCACCCAGUGCUCAUCGCUGGAGAAGGAGCAGCUGCAAAGGCUGAAGUUUUUAAAGGGUGUGUCUACUCUGUGGGGUUGUCAGGUACAAGUUCUGACUCCACAGGUGUGUCACAGCUGAUCAUUUACAACUCAGCUUUUUGACUUUGGCUCAUUUCUCUCUGUUUUUCUGGCUCUGCGGAAGAUGUGAGGUCAUAAUAUUUCCUGACAUAUUGGACUUUUGCUGGUCAUGCAGCUGCGUCCACUCUGCAGUUUUGUCUCGUUGUAAUUCUGCUUUGCUUAACAUAAAAACAGCCGAGGGAGGUUUGUGUGUGACGGAGGCACUGAUGAGCAGGGACUGGGCAUUAGUUAUGAUGAUUAAUGUGUUCUGCAUACUCUGCGUGCAAUAAUAACAGAGUGAAUGCAGCCACGACUGAAGAGAAGUCAGUCUGGUCCAAGCGCCACAUGUUUAACCAUCAUUGAGAUUCACCACAUCGUCCGUUGUGUUCAUACUUCAUCUUCAGGUUUCAGUUCAGGCUCGUCACCGAAGCUUUUGUCAUGCAACAAGAAAAAAAAGCAAUAGUGAUUUCUCUGUUCUGGGAACUUCAGCGUGGAAGUGUUCUGAUUUCUGUUUCUCUGCUUUUGUUUCUUUCACAUAUCUCGAUGCCAUUUCUUUUUUUGACAAACUUUAAUUGUGAUCUAUUUUUGAUAAAAUAAAUCUUUAAUUCUGAUCGAUCUCCAUGUGUUUCCCAUGAAUGCACAUGCAGAUGUGUCACUUUCUGUUGAGUGUGAGUGUGUUUGUGUGCCAUCAACAUCAGCAGAGGUGUUGGGAUUGGAUUUAAGGUUUGUUCAGGUCAUUGUUUGAUUUACCUUCCUCAUGCUGUGGCUCCUCAUGGUCUCCUGAAGCAGCUGAUGAUGAAAGCAUUAGUGAAAGGAAAUAAAAAUUCUAGAAGGAAACUGAUUUGAAAAAACUGAAAACCUGAUAGAGUCUUUUCUUGUUCUUAUCUCCUACAGAAGUUCAGCGAAAUGCCACUCAGUGUUCCUGUUGUAAAGCAUGAUAACUAAAAUCUUAAGAUCAUUUUAUGGACUUUAUUUUUAAUUAAACGCACCAUCUCCUUCACAUGAACCUGCAACACCAAAUGCAUUAAAACAAGGAACCGGCGCUAAUUUAAAUAUUUUAGCAAACGUCGGAUUUGUUGAAUUGUCUUUCAGUCAGUUAAAAAGAUUAAAGUUGAUUUAAGUUUCAUCCAACCUGCAGUAUUUCUGUUAACGUAGCAUAGACAUAUAAGGUAGACGUGGGUAUUUGCUCAUACAUAUGCAGCAGUAUAGCCCCAGUAAAGAUGCCUCCUCCAGCUUUGUGUCAAGUAAAAUAACUCAUGUUCAGAUCUGUUCUGCUGAAGGUUGCAGGUCCACAGCAAAAACUAUCAUUAAAUAAUGAUCCGCUGGACCUUUUUCAUUGAUGUCGAGUCAAAUUGAAAGUUGCGGUGUUGCUGAAGGCGCACGUUUUUCCUGAACUUCCAGUUAGACAUCUUAGUAAGAGAAAUUCUGUGUUUUGUUUUACUGAUAAGAGCAAAUUGAAAGUAUCAAGAACAGCUGGCACGGCAGUGUUGUGGUUAAUUCAGCGACAAAGUCCGGUGUUCAGACCCACUGGCUGUGUGGAGAACUCUCUGGUUCCUCCAAAGACAUGCAUGGGUUAGAUAUGUGGAGUAACCAGAACCAUUUAACCAAAUUACUUAAUUUUGGAUUAAAGAAGACUUACGUGUUUUUUUUUUUUUAUUUGAUUGCAAUAAUCUGAUCCAUAUUUGUUGAUUUGUCUGAACCUGCAUCAUCUCGUCUGUCUGUGGUUCAGUUUUUGGUGUCCCACUCUGUCCAGUCUCACCCCGGAACAUGACGCUUGCUGGGUAUCUCACACUUCCUGCUGUCUCCACAGCAGAGGUCAGAGCUGCAGAGUUACGCCUCUGUCACAUAACAGUCACAUUAAUGGGAAAUUCAGCAAAUUGAAGUUGGUCUUUAGAGUGAGAGUGCACUUCUUACCCCUAACAUCCACCCCGGCUGGCUGGUUCAACCCAUUCUUUAUUCACUCAACAUAAACAGCUUCCUCCGAUCCAGCUGCACGGUUAUACUGCAUUCAGUUUAAUCUUUAAAAAUAAUUAAGGCAAAACUUUGCUUUGAGUUAAGAAAUCUUAUCACCUUCUUCACUCUUCCCAACAAUCGUUUUGUCAAAUCAGCUCCAAACAUGUCUUGCAAAUCGUUCGAGGACUCCAGUAAAAGCUGUAUCCUUUAAAAAUAGUUCAGAUCAUUGCUGCCAGCCUGAGCAAGUCAUGAUUUACAUGUAGGACCCUUUCUUAUCCAGAGCCCUCCACCCUCAUCAUAUCACCUCCUUUCACCUCAUUAAAAGUAUCCUGGAAGGAGACAUCAGUGCUGGAAGGGCAUGUGCCACUUCUGAAACCAAACCACAGCUUUUACCUUUAUUUUUUAAACACAGCUGUUAUAAAUCAUAAAGAAUAUGAACGUGCGACCAGUGCAGAGCUGGUGGAAACAUUAGAUGUUGCUGUUAAGAGCACCACAAGCAGGAAAACCAGCAUAAACAUGCAGUUAUUCAUUACUGAGCAAUAAUGCAUGAAAAGCACUACAUCAUCAGCGGGCUGUUCAUAUCUGUGCAUAAAAAUGUUCACAGUGCCUUAAAUCGUUUUUGUUAAAAACCCUGUCAAAUGCAUCUGAGGUACCACAGAAGAAGAAAGUGUGUGUUUAUUAGAGACGGUGGAGGAUGUUGAAAUAAUGUAAUGUACAGUAAUGUAUUGAAUGUACAGUAAGCAGUCUUCCUGGUUUAAAGUGAUGAAGAAGAGAGAAUAAUAUUGUGCAGAAGCUCAGAGAGCUUCUGCUGUUCAGUGCUCUCAUGUUUUAGCUGAUUUUUAUUAUUUUUGCACAUCUGUCUUAAAAACAUGUUUUAGAGUACACAGUGUAAUUUAGAGGAAAUAUAAAGUCUUAGUAAAGUAUUCUUUGCAUUAAAGGCAGGCUAAUGUGAGCGUAUUCUAACACUGUUACAGCCUCCCAGCUGCCUCUCCCUGAGCUUCUGCAGUGCUGCUUCUUGUUGUAUGAUACAGAUGUUUUCCUGUUCCCGUGAUAGUGAUGCCGUUCACAUGCGUGUUCAGUUUGCUGCAUUACUCUGUCAACAAUCCUGUGGUAUUACAAAGUAAUGCCUUCACUGGUAUCGCUGUCUGUCUCAGCCUGUUUGUUAAGUUAUGACCAAAGUUAUUCCAUCAUCUUAAAUGACUGUAGUUCCACUGUUAGCGCUAUCGUUAGCAUUAGAAUAAAACAAAUAUUGAAACAAAACAAAAUGAAAUGCGAACACACACAAAAAGUAAAUGUUAAUGAAGUGAGGCUGAAAAAAGCCUGGUUUCAUUCUUAGCUUUAGAUUACAGAAUCUCAGCACAUUUGAUUACACAGCACACAGCAGCCACAGCCUUUAAGAAUGACACACGGUUAUUCCACCUCAGUUCAUCAAACUUAACAAAAACCCUUAAAGAAAUACUCUUUUUAAGAAGCUUUGCUUUUCUACCAUCACUUUUGAACUUAGUGAUGUAGAAGCUGGUGGAGCUCACCAAUCCAAAUAUUUAAUAACUAAAAUAUUCUGUGAAUUAAAUCCCAUGAAGUUUAAUAGAAUGAAGUUUAUGUUCAUGUGUCCUGAAAUUCAGGAUGUUACUUUGAAAUAUUAUUUAUGAAUUCUGUUAUUAAUUCCAAUAAGAAGUGUUUCACUGGAAUCUGAGAUGGUCAGAUUUUGUAUUUUUAUUCUUUGUGUUUAAAUAGGAUAAGCUAAUGUGGAAUGACUGUGACACUUAAUCCAACUCACACUCACUAAGUUCUGCUGUUUAAGGCUGUGACAUCAUUAGUUACAUAUCAGUAAUAAAGAUCAGACAGUGUCAGCAGUGUGGAUUUAAUGCUUUUAUUUAUUUUUUAAUUUUUUUUUUCACAAGGCUGUGAGACUUAGAAAAAAGGAGAUCCCAGCUGUGCAGCACCUGCAGUGUGUCCGUGUGCUCGGUCGUGUUUUCGCUCACUGAGCUGUGUGUUUGUGUCGAGCUGUUUUCCUGCUUCUGUCCUGCUGAUACAACGG